CGUUCCCAUACCGAACACGGAAGUUAAGCUCUCUAGCGCCGAUGGUAGUUGGGACCUUGUCCCUGUGAGAGUAGGACGUCGCCAAGC
Molecule: ribosomal RNA, 87 nt
Filed under: Bacillus cereus
Lineage: Bacteria; Bacillati; Bacillota; Bacilli; Caryophanales; Bacillaceae
Also listed under: 19 other names
Source: RNAcentral